This 1158-nucleotide long non-coding RNA is filed under the name Musa acuminata (dwarf banana). RNAcentral describes it as "long non-coding RNA (MACU_LNC004961)". The record is from RNAcentral. Lineage: Eukaryota; Viridiplantae; Streptophyta; Magnoliopsida; Zingiberales; Musaceae.
UACUAACAAAUAUUGAGACAAAGAGCAAUAUUACUAACAAAUAUUGAGACAAAAAAAGCAAUAUUACUAACAAAGACUGAGACAACAAGCUAUAUUACUAACAAAAAUUGAGACAAAAAGCGAUAUUACGAUAUAUCUGCAUCCAAAUCCACCCUAUCUUCAUGGUUAAAGACCUCUAACUUAUCAUAUAAUAUUGAAGUACACCAGCAUUGUGUUGCUGACAUUUAUAACAAGAAGCAAUCAAUAAAUUUUAGCAAGCCCAUAACAUUUUUGCAAUAUAUUCUACAAUCCAACUUACAAAGAUCAAAGGUAACUGUUUUCUCCCUUGUGCAUCAGCCAUCAAGUGCAUACCACCAUCAGUAAAUUUACAUGUCAAAUAAUUAAAAAUCAAUAAAUUUACAUGUAUUUUAAUUAAAAAUUAUGUUCCCUGAUCAGUGCUGGAAAUACAAAAGGUAAAAAGCCAUUGCAAAUUUUAUCAUACGCACUUAGGGAGGAUGCAAGAGAGGGGAGGGAGGACUUUAUGGCUUUGUUGUUUUUGUUAUUGUUGUAACUAAUCCACUUCAGUUUGUCACACAAAUUCAACCAAGUCAACUUCGUGCAAAAAAGUAAUUUUGAGCAUUCUCCACUUCUAACAUAUUCAGCACUAUUCGGUCUUCAAUCACUAUUUGAUUUUCCAUGGAAUUUCCUAUAUUACCCCACUUCCACUAAACCAAAGGUUGGCUGCCAUCAUGCACAUCAGUUUAAUAAACUACAUUAGUUAAAUUAAUCUCUUUCUUUACUCUGAAACUUCCCCAGCUUAUGACAAUAACCUUUGUCACAUACAACUCACAGAACCACUAUAUCAGCAAGCAGAAUGUCAAUUCAAAACUAAAAGCACAUGAUAAUGUUAUCAGUCUUCAAAUUAUCUAAACAAAUCCGUCUUCAAUUGCAUAAAUAAUUAGUAAAAACAUCAAAUAUGUCCUCAAAAACCAGUUUUUAUUGGCUGAAAUCCUAUUUUAGUUUGAUUGCUUUCACACAUGUGAGAACCACCAACCAAUAAGUUCCUUGAUGUCUCCAAAGUCGGUUGUCGAGUGCGGUGCCAAGCACGACAUGAUCAGGUCCAAGCCCAACGUGACAGCAGGCUGACCCGACCUGAGGUGCUGAGAAGCCAAACUGGAG